UUACGGCCACAUCGCGUUGAAACACCGAUUCCCGUACGAUCACUGAAGUUAAGCAAUGUCGAUCAUGGUCAGUGCGUAGAAGGAUGACCGCAUGAGAAUAUCAGGUGCUGUAAG
This is a non-coding RNA of Acanthosepion pharaonis, 114 nucleotides long. Lineage: Eukaryota; Metazoa; Mollusca; Cephalopoda; Sepiida; Sepiidae. The record is from the annotation of a GenBank genome assembly.